AGUAACCGGAAGUGAAAUUUCACCUCCUUAGCAACGAGCGCGAGCGCGCGCAUAAAUCGGUUAAUGGGCCCUUAAAGUCGUUCUUGACUUGACCAGUGCAUUUGUAAGCUCUCCCCAGAUCUCCAAUACUAAAUUUAGCAGUUACAUGUUUCAAACCCCUUAGGUCUACAUUCUUCUCUUUUCAGAACGAGACGUUCGUAAUCUUAAAUGAAUCCGAGUCUUGUUGGAGCUACGAUAUGGAUUUUACAUAUAAUGUAGUCGUACUUCCAUGUUUCCGUGGCUUCACACAUAAAGAACUACCUUGGAUUCACUCUUCAACGGCAGCACCGAAAAUCACAGGUGAGCUAUCCAAGAGGAUAAAAUGAAGAAUAAAUUCUGACCACCCUCCGUUUAGCAAGUUUAAGCUAGCGGAUAACCAAAUGUUUCUCAAGGCCAUCAUCAAAUAUUCUGAGCUACGGAUUUUAACCACAUAAGUACAGUACAGAGAUGCAUCCUGAAAUACACUCUCCAUUGGUGCGAUUACCUAUAUAUAUUUAGUUAAUGUAUUUUAUUAUUUUUACUGAAAUAUUACCUCAUCGUGAUUGGCUGAGAGCUGGCCCAUUUAUUA
Long non-coding RNA from Orbicella faveolata, 607 nucleotides. The record is from RefSeq and is a predicted model, not a curated record. Lineage: Eukaryota; Metazoa; Cnidaria; Anthozoa; Scleractinia; Merulinidae.